Molecule: ribosomal RNA, 356 nt
Filed under: uncultured bacterium
Lineage: Bacteria
Description: bacterial SSU rRNA
Rfam family: Bacterial small subunit ribosomal RNA
Source: RNAcentral
AACGAACGCUGGCGGCAUGCCUAACACAUGCAAGUCGAACGAGACCUUCGGGUCUAGUGGCGCACGGGUGCGUAACGCGUGGGAAUCUGCCCUUAGGUUCGGAAUAACUUCGGGAAACUGAAGCUAAUACCGGAUGAUGACGUAAGUCCAAAGAUUUAUCGCCUAAGGAUGAGCCCGCGUUGGAUUAGCUAGUUGGUGAGGUAAAGGCUCACCAAGGCGACGAUCCUUAGCUGGUCUGAGAGGAUGAUCAGCCACACUGGGACUGAGACACGACCCAGACUCCUACGGAGGCAGCAGUGGGAAUAUUGGACAAUGGGCGAAAGCCUGAUCCAGCAAUGCCGCGUGAGUGAUGAAGG